UUAAUGCAGAAUGUUGCAAAAAGAAAAUAUUGGACGAGAAGAUCCAUCCCAAGCGCAGGGGUACAAGAAGAAAUGAAAUGCAGUCAGAUUACGACAAACAAUUUCUAACAUUAAAGAUCUCAAAAUUGAAAGCACUAAAUGGUAAGUU
Physella acuta is the source of this 148-nucleotide long non-coding RNA. RefSeq lists it as uncharacterized. Lineage: Eukaryota; Metazoa; Mollusca; Gastropoda; Physidae. The record is from RefSeq and is a predicted model, not a curated record.